GCCUAAAGCCAUACAGGAAAAAUAAUGCCUAUCAGGGUUGUUCAACCCUCAAGUGUUCUGUUCCAUUGCCAAUCACACGUAUCACUUGUACCUACAGAGGGAAAAUUACCAUACGUCAAGCAUACAAAUCCAAAAUGAAAGUCUGUUAUGAGCACCAUAAAGAUAAAAAUCAUCCAUAGCAUUUCAGUGCAUAGUUGCACACUCUUAAAGACAAAAGUUAGUUUCAUACAGUGCAUUACCUAGGAACACCAUUUGGUGUACUGAGCAUAACAAUUCCAAUUUAUUCUAUGGCUAUGAAAUGCCUAAAAGUGAGAUUGCGACAUGAAAGCAAGCACUCAACAAGGUGAUGCCAGUGGUAAGCUCUCUCUGCCACUCCAUUGUUGGAGCUUAACUCUUCCAAGCAGCAAAAUGAUCGAUCUCAAGUUCUCAACCAGCAGGAUAGCAACAUUUAAGGUGUAGUUGUGCCUAUUCAUAUGCCCGGCAUUCACACCAUGUUCACUUCGGCAUUGAAUCCUAAAUUGAUCAAAUUUUAACAUGUAUCAAUUCUUUGCCCUGGUUAUUGAGUAACAUUUCUCAUGAUUCACCAUUUCUGAUGUAAUUAGGACAUAUUAUGGAAUAAAAUGUCAUGUGAUUCACAUAUUCAGAGCGAGAAUAGGAGGCUAGCAAAAUUUCAGGGACAGUUUGGUGCCAUAAUAAAAGCCCCAUAACCGGAUCACUAAACCUACGGAUUGACCAUAUCUAGUGAACAAGGGCAAGCAUAGUUUUGCACAAAUAAAUGGUUGCCAUACAUGCACAUGAAAGGCCCAAAAAAUAUAGGGCGAACCAAAUAAAGAAGGGUUGAAUCAGCAGUCUCACCAUCGUCUCAAGGUUCUUCUACCUACGUCCUUCUCUCACCUCCUCCUGAGCAAACCCACCGCCCCAUCCAAAUCCAUCUCAUGCAUUGAUCGAUCUCGCUACUAAUCAUCAAAAACCGAAUUCCCACCCUGCCUUGUUGCUAUAAAUCCCAUUUUCCCUUUCGAUUGAGCUCCACAAUGAUCUAAUUUAUAAAUCAAUCUGGUAUCCUUGUUUUGCUUUUCCACUUUUCCUCAAAACUAACCAUAUGAAACCCGGCAUGGCCUCCAGAUCCUCACCCUUCCAGCUUUCCUGAUGAUGGCCUUCUACAUGGCCUACACAAAUCUAAAUAAGAAAUAUGAUCAAACUAAAGAACUCCAAAAAAGAUCAAAGCAUGCGAUGCAAGCAG
This 1240-nucleotide long non-coding RNA is filed under the name Triticum aestivum (bread wheat). RNAcentral describes it as "long non-coding RNA (TAES_LNC001607)". Lineage: Eukaryota; Viridiplantae; Streptophyta; Magnoliopsida; Poales; Poaceae. The record is from RNAcentral.